Molecule: ribosomal RNA, 497 nt
Filed under: uncultured bacterium
Lineage: Bacteria
Description: partial 16S ribosomal RNA
Rfam family: Bacterial small subunit ribosomal RNA
Source: RNAcentral
GACGAACGCUGGCGGCGUGCCUGAUACAUGCCAGUUGAGCGCUGAAGGUUGGUACUUGUACCAACUGGAUGAGCAGCGAACGGGUGAGUAACGCGUGGGGAAUCUGCCUUUGAGCGGGGGACAACAUUUGGAAACGAAUGCUAAUACCGCAUAAAAACUUUAAACACAAGUUUUAAGUUUGAAAGAUGCAAUUGCAUCACUCAAAGAUGAUCCCGCGUUGUAUUAGCUAGUUGGUGAGGUAAAGGCUCACCAAGGCGAUGAUACAUAGCCGACCUGAGAGGGUGAUCGGCCACAUUGGGACUGAGACACGGCCCAAACUCCUACGGGAGGCAGCAGUAGGGAAUCUUCGGCAAUGGACGAAAGUCUGACCGAGCAACGCCGCGUGAGUGAAGAAGGUUUUCGGAUCGUAAAACUCUGUUGGUAGAGAAGAACGUUGGUGAGAGUGGAAAGCUCAUCAAGUGACGGUAACUACCCAGAAAGGGACGGCUAACUACGUG